RNAcentral lists this long non-coding RNA (207 nucleotides) under Capsella rubella. RNAcentral's name for it is "long non-coding RNA (CRUB_LNC002543)". The record is from RNAcentral. Lineage: Eukaryota; Viridiplantae; Streptophyta; Magnoliopsida; Brassicales; Brassicaceae.
UGGACGGACAAGCACCAUUGGACAUAGAACCAAAGACGCCGGCGGUCGUUGCAGAGGAAAAGACCGUGGAAGCGGCAGUGGAAAGAGGGGAGACCGGCAGCGAGAAGGAGAAAGAAGAAUUGAGUGUUAAGGGAGUGGAAGUAGAAGGAAGAGAGAUGGUUUUAUUAAGAGAAGAAGAAGUCGACAUGAGAGGUGAGGAGAGUUCUG